Molecule: ribosomal RNA, 433 nt
Filed under: uncultured bacterium
Lineage: Bacteria
Description: partial 16S ribosomal RNA
Rfam family: Bacterial small subunit ribosomal RNA
Source: RNAcentral
AGCGAACGCUGGCGGCAGGCUUAACACAUGCAAGUCGAGCGGGCACUUCGGUGUCAGCGGCAGACGGGUGAGUAACACGUGGGAACGUACCCUUUGGUUCGGAAUAACGCUGGGAAACUAGCGCUAAUACCGGAUACGCCCUUUUGGGGAAAGGCUUGCUGCCGAAGGAUCGGCCCGCGUCUGAUUAGCUAGUUGGUGGGGUAAUGGCCUACCAAGGCGACGAUCAGUAGCUGGUCUGAGAGGAUGAUCAGCCACACUGGGACUGAGACACGGCCCAGACUCCUACGGGAGGCAGGAGUGGGGAAUAUUGGACAAUGGGCGCAAGCCUGAUCCAGCCAGGCCGCGUGAGUGAUGAAGGCCUUAGGGUUGUAAAGCUCUUUUGUCCGGGACGAUAAUGACGGUACCGGAAGAAUAAGCCCCGGCUAACUUCGUG